RNAcentral lists this transfer RNA (74 nucleotides) under Lepisosteus oculatus (spotted gar). It matches the Rfam family "tRNA". From Rfam's summary of the family: Transfer RNA (tRNA) molecules are approximately 80 nucleotides in length. Their secondary structure includes four short double-helical elements and three loops (D, anti-codon, and T loops). The record is from Rfam by way of RNAcentral. Lineage: Eukaryota; Metazoa; Chordata; Actinopteri; Semionotiformes; Lepisosteidae.
GCUGUGGUAGCUCAGAUGGCAAGGGUGUCUGGCUCCUGACCAGAAGGUCCCAGGUUCAAUCCCAGGUAGGGGCA